This is a non-coding RNA of Schistosoma mansoni, 46 nucleotides long. The record is from Rfam. Lineage: Eukaryota; Metazoa; Platyhelminthes; Trematoda; Strigeidida; Schistosomatidae.
CUACUGCUGAGGAGUUCCACAAUAGGACGAAACGGCCGUUCAGUGC